GGGACCAUGGCGCAUCUGGUUAGCGCGUAGGCCUCAUAUGUCUCAGCACAUGAUCUGAUUAAACAUCAGAGUUAACCUGAGGUCGUGAGUUCGAUCUUCACUAGUCCCA
Lasiosphaeria miniovina is the source of this 109-nucleotide non-coding RNA. Lineage: Eukaryota; Fungi; Ascomycota; Sordariomycetes; Sordariales; Lasiosphaeriaceae. The record is from the annotation of a RefSeq genome assembly.